GGCAGCAGUAGGGAAUCUUGCGCAAUGGGCGAAAGCCUGACGCAGCCAUGCCGCGUGAAUGAUGAAGGUCUUAGGAUUGUAAAAUUCUUUCACCGGGGAAGAUAAUGACGGUACCCGGAGAAGAAGCCCCGGCUAACUUCGUGCCAGCAGCCGCGGUAAUACGAAGGGGGCUAGCGUUGCUCGGAAUUACUGGGCGUAAAGGGCGCGUAGGCGGAUAGUCUAGUCAGAGGUAAAAGCCCAGGGCUCAACCUUGGAACUGCCUUUGAUACUGGCUAUCUUGAGUUCGGGAGAGGUGAGUGGAAUGCCGAGUGUAGAGGUGAAAUUCGUAGAUAUUCGGCGGAACACCAGUGGCGAAGGCGACUCACUGGCCCGAUACUGACGCUGAGGCGCGAAAGCGUGGGGAGCAAACAGGAUUAGAUACCCUGGUAGUCCACGCUGUAAACGAUGAGUGCUAGUUGUCGGCAUGCAUGCAUGUCGGUGACGCAGCUAACGCAUUAAGCACUCCGCCUGGGGAGUACGGUCGCAAGAUUAAAACUCAAAGGAAUUGACGG
Molecule: ribosomal RNA, 551 nt
Filed under: uncultured Caulobacteraceae bacterium
Lineage: Bacteria; Pseudomonadati; Pseudomonadota; Alphaproteobacteria; Caulobacterales; Caulobacteraceae
Description: bacterial SSU rRNA
Rfam family: Bacterial small subunit ribosomal RNA
Source: RNAcentral